Molecule: long non-coding RNA, 1411 nt
Filed under: Homo sapiens (human)
Lineage: Eukaryota; Metazoa; Chordata; Mammalia; Primates; Hominidae
Description: HSALNT0097040
Source: RNAcentral
GCCUGGGCGACAGAGUAAGAUCCUGUCUCAGAGAGAGAGAGAGAGAGAUUGAGAAGAGAGAAGUGCAAGAUCACACUUCUGCAGCUCUUUUUUUCUCCUUCUGGCACAUUUUUCAUUUUUAAGACCCCACGUCCUCCAUAUAUGCUUUCCUGGCCCACCCAUUUCCCUCCUCCCCUUACACAGAUGGAGAACUUCCUUUCUGGUGUUCUCUCAGCACUCAGCACAGAUUGCUAGUGCUUUUAUGUGCUGAGCCUUUCCCUUCAACCUGGACUGAAAGAGGAUGGCAAUCUCGCUGAAGCUGUUUCUUUUUCUUCACAACAUAUAGGAAAGUGUUGCCCCUUUUUGGAGGGGCCAUAAAGAAAAUUGAUGAGGACAACUGGCCUCCCAGUAUGUGGAUUCAGUUUCCAUAUGUCAAUUUACCAACUCCCACUGGUAGUCUGAAGAGAUAUGGCUACUGGAGAACAGAAAAUCACCAGUAUUAAUAAAAGCAAUUUUAAGUGUUUACCUUUUAGUAUUUGAAUAGCUUUGUUAAAGAGACGUACUCAAGAAUACUAUGAAGAGACUCUUAUUGUACUCCUUACCUGGAGAUAAUUGUGAUGCCAGAAAUUCAAAUUUAUAUUCAACAAUAUGGUUUUUCAACCAUCAAUAUUAUAAACAUCUAGGCAGUGUCUAUUGUUUGCGCAUUUGCCAUCCUCUAAAAUGAGAUUAUUCUAAGCAUAAAUUAUACUUCAUCAUUCAAGAUUAUAAACAUUUAUAAUAAUCAUAAUAUUCACAGACAUUUCCCUGCUCUCAAAUCACUAGAGCUAAUAGGCAAAGUAGAUACAGCUACAAACAGUGGGAGAAAAUAUUUCUGGCUGACCUACAAAUAGCUGUGCAAUAAUGUAGAGAGGAAAAUAUAGUCUCACUUACAGUGUCUGAAAUUGAGUUUCCCUCUUUAAAGGACAAAGUAAUUUUCAAAAAUAUUUGAGUAUUAUUCUGUGUAAAAAAUCUCUGUUUUAACUGGCUUAUUGAAUUGUAUUUCUUUAUUGUGUUUGUAUUCACUUUUCCAUUUGUGGGUGGAAUUUAUUAUAAUUACCAGUUUUAUACUGAAUGAAACAAAAAUCUCAUAGAUUUAAUAAAACUUUAAAUUCCUUGUCAUUAAUAAUAAAAUGUAUAUGCUUUCUCUAAUAAGUCCAUACUUUAUUGUUUAAAACCUGUUUUUCCUCUUUCUCAAGCACAUGGAUUGUUAAUUUAAAUUCUGAAAUAAAGCCAAUUAAUCCAUAAACAUGGACUGUGGAUAAUGUCGAUAUUACAUGUAAAUUUCUCAGUGUGUGUUUCGUGGACCCAAUAGCAUCAGCAUUAGCUGGGGACUUACGAGGUGGCCUGUGCCUGUAGUCCCAGCUACUCAGGAGGCUGAGGCAGGAGAAUCGCU